This is a non-coding RNA of Egretta garzetta (little egret), 70 nucleotides long. The record is from Rfam. NCBI's taxonomy places the organism in Eukaryota, Metazoa, Chordata, Aves, Pelecaniformes, Ardeidae.
UUGCUGUGAUGACCAUCUUAGGACACCUUUGGAAUAUCCAUGAAAAAACCAUGAAUUCUUUCUGAGCAAC